Streptomyces sp. CB01249 is the source of this 56-nucleotide regulatory RNA element. It matches the Rfam family "L17-Actino-Proteobacteria ribosomal protein leader". NCBI's taxonomy places the organism in Bacteria, Bacillati, Actinomycetota, Actinomycetes, Kitasatosporales, Streptomycetaceae. The record is from Rfam.
CCGCUCGGCGGCCGCCGGGUGGGAACUGACAUCGGUACCUGAUACGGCCGGUGCAG